Molecule: ribosomal RNA, 390 nt
Filed under: Dociostaurus genei genei
Lineage: Eukaryota; Metazoa; Arthropoda; Insecta; Orthoptera; Acrididae
Description: 12S ribosomal RNA
Rfam family: Microsporidia small subunit ribosomal RNA
Source: RNAcentral
AUACCCUAUUAUAUUAAGUGUUAAUUUUGCUUACCUGGGUAGUAUUAGUUAAGAUCUUUAAACCCAAAGAAUUUGGCGGUACCUUAUUCCAUUCAGAGGAACCUACCCCGUAAUUGAUAAUACACGAUUAACUUUACUUAAUUUAUUUGUUUGUAUAUCUCCGUUAUCAGAAAAUCUUAUUGGAGUUAUAAUUUUCUUGAUUUAUAAUUAUGAAAUAUUUCAGGUCAAGGUGCAGCUUAUAAUUAAGAGGAGGUGGGUUACAAUAGAUUUUUGUUUAUAACGGAUUUAAUAGUGAAAUACUAUUAAUGAAGGUGGAUUUGAUAGUAAUUUAAUUUAGUUAAUUUAAUUGAUAUUGGCUCUGAGGUGUGUACACAUCGCCCGUCGCUCUCA